GCAGCCCAGAAUCAGUGCCCUGCCAGGCAGAAUUGCUUGGCCAUAACAAAGAUCCAUUGCCUUUCUGAUGACACCCAGCACCUCGGAUUCUGUAUACACGGGAGGUGAUUUAAGCAUCUUACUGCCACCCUGAAAUCUGGGGUCCUUUAUCCUGGCAGCAUCUAGACCCGUAACGCCCACUUCAGAAUGGGAGGGAGGAUGUCUGCUGCCCUGUCGUCUCCACACCCGAGGAAUGUCCGUGUGUGUGUGUGUGUGGUGUGCACAGCGGGCUGCACACAGCGGGCUCCACGGUGCUCGAAUGGAGGCCCUAAUGUGAAUGGAGACUAGCCUGCUGGUAGAGACCUUGGCAGUGACCGCUGUGGGCAAUGAGCCAUGGGCCAACAAUAUUCAAUGCUGUGUACCUGAUGGAUGGUUACUGUCUGAGACUGAGGCUUUUUGGGCCAGGAGUAAAAGGACUUGGUUUGUACUUGAUUGCGUCCUGUGGAUGCUUGCCUACCAACUGACUCAUCCUGACGUGCCAAAGGUCCUGGCUUUCCCCUGUGUGGGUAAGGGAAGAAGAGAGUUCUUUGUUCCUAGUUCACUUCAACCCCACGAUCCUAAGCACACCUGUACCUGCCCUGGAAUCCCUCAGCCAUGUUUGUCCCACAGAGCAUCACUAUCAAACAGUUCACUGUGGACUCCUCGUAGCAGAAGUACAGUAGGGGACAGCAAGUGUCAGCUCCAUCAGGACCCCUGAUUUAAUUAUUUACUGUGGAACCAUUGUCCUGAGUCAGGAGGAUAGAUGAGGAAAGAAUGAGAGCGUGGCUGGCAUCGCUUCAUGAUUACAUUCUGGGAAAGAUCUUGCCUGUUAACCUCUAGAGAAGGAGGGACGAUACAGACAAUGAAGACUAUAGCAGACUGAAUUACUCUCUGAGAUGAGGACUUUGCUAUUGCCAUUGCAGAACCACUGGUGGAAGUUGUUGUUAAACAGUGGGUCUUGCAUGCAAGCUCUACAGUUAUGCACAGUAUUUCCAUGACAUCCCAAGCCAUGAGGUUCAUGCUGCCAUAUCCCCCUGUUUAACAAGUGUGGAAACUGAUAAUGGACUCACAAUUGCUGAUGUAUAGGUUCUAAUGUUUUCUAUUGUGGACACGGGACACCCAGACUGAGAACCAAUGGCUCCAGUCUGAUUUAAACAUGGGUCCGUGCUCACACACUCAAUACCUACCCUCUGUGCUCACAAGUCCUGUGUGAGUAAGACUCCAAAUUAUUCUGUCUUGUUUUACUCAAUGGUAUGCUCUACCUUAUUAUAGAGUAUACCAUGUAUUGAGACAAGAAUGCCAGUCAUUCUGAGAAACAAAAUGCAACCAUUAGUUGUCAUUUUAAUUAGUGACGAAUAGUUGUGUCAAUCAUCAAACAUGCUUGUAUAAUUGGAUGAGAAGAGGUGUAACACGGGCCAAUGAUGACGAGGUUUCGGGAUUAUAAGUCACGGACGAUGACUACGUCACUAGAGGUCUGAGGUCCAUAGCAGAAGAUGCCUCAUGUGACCCUCUCAUGCAGGGGUUGCAUGUCAGGCAUGUGCAUACAGUAGAUAUUAGCCAUGCACUCUCACCAUUUCAUAGUAGAUCACA
RNAcentral lists this long non-coding RNA (1608 nucleotides) under Mus musculus (house mouse). RNAcentral's name for it is "RNA imprinted and accumulated in nucleus". The stretch from base 1430 to 1503 matches the Rfam family "Small nucleolar RNA SNORD113/SNORD114 family". Lineage: Eukaryota; Metazoa; Chordata; Mammalia; Rodentia; Muridae. The record is from RNAcentral.